This 70-nucleotide transfer RNA is filed under the name Bos taurus (domestic cattle). It matches the Rfam family "tRNA". From Rfam's summary of the family: Transfer RNA (tRNA) molecules are approximately 80 nucleotides in length. RNAcentral also lists the same sequence under 3 other names. Lineage: Eukaryota; Metazoa; Chordata; Mammalia; Artiodactyla; Bovidae. The record is from Rfam by way of RNAcentral.
UCCCUGGUGGUCCAGUGGUCAGGACUCUGCUUCCACUGCAGGGGCACGGGUUCAAUCCUUGGUCAGGGAA